RNAcentral lists this ribosomal RNA (467 nucleotides) under uncultured bacterium. RNAcentral's name for it is "partial 16S ribosomal RNA". It matches the Rfam family "Bacterial small subunit ribosomal RNA", at positions 28 to 507 of the family's 1533-position model. The record is from RNAcentral.
GACGAACGCUGGCGGCGUGCUUAACACAUGCAAGUCGAACGGAAAGGCCCUGCUUUUGUGGGGUGCUCGAGUGGCGAACGGGUGAGUAACACGUGAGUAACCUGCCCUUGACUUUGGGAUAACUUCAGGAAACUGGGGCUAAUACCGGAUAGGAGCUCCUGCCGCAUGGUGGGGGUUGAAAGUUUCGGCGGUUGGGGAUGGACUCGCGGCUUAUCAGCUUGUUGGUGGGGUAGUGGCUUACCAAGGCUUUGACGGGUAGCCGGCCUGAGAGGGUGACCGGCCACAUUGGGACUGAGAUACGGCCCAGACUCCUACGGGAGGCAGCAGUGGGGAAUAUUGCACAAUGGGCGGAAGCCUGAUGCAGCAACGCCGCGUGCGGGAUGACGGCCUUCGGGUUGUAAACCGCUUUCGCCUGUGACGAAGCGUGAGUGACGGUAAUGGGUAAAGAAGCACCGGCUAACUACGUG